AGUGAACGCUGGCGGUAGGCCUAACACAUGCAAGUCGAACGGCAGCACAGUAAGAGCUUGCUCUUACGGGUGGCGAGUGGCGGACGGGUGAGGAAUACAUCGGAAUCUACUUUUUCGUGGGGGAUAACGUAGGGAAACUUACGCUAAUACCGCAUACGACCUACGGGUGAAAGCAGGGGAUCUUCGGACCUUGCGCGAUUGAAUUAGCCGAUGUCGGAUUAGCUAGUUGGCGGGGUAAAGGCCCACCAAGGCGACGAUCCGUAGCUGGUCUGAGAGGAUGAUCAGCCACACUGGAACUGAGACACGGUCCAGACUCCUACGGGAGGCAGCAGUGGGGAAUAUUGGACAAUGGGCGCAAGCCUGAUCCAGCCAUACCGCGUGGGUGAAGAAGGCCUUCGGGUUGUAAAGCCCUUUUGUUGGGAAAGAAAAGCAGCAGGUUAAUACGCCGCUGUUCUGACGGUACCCAAAGAAUAAGCACCGGCUAACUUCGUG
This 492-nucleotide ribosomal RNA is filed under the name uncultured bacterium. RNAcentral's name for it is "partial 16S ribosomal RNA". It matches the Rfam family "Bacterial small subunit ribosomal RNA", at positions 29 to 507 of the family's 1533-position model. The record is from RNAcentral.